AACUGCAAGAAAAGAUCACAACUGUAUCUCACUUCAGUUCCAGGUGAUGUUGACUAUCAAGUUAAAUGCUUUAACCGAGGCUCCUGUCGAUAACGAAUCAACCAAAAAGGCUGUUUUCCGAAAAAUGAAAGGGACAUCUGCCCCAAAAAAGGAUGACAAUGAAAAAACUAAAGAAUUUAUUGGCCAUGUUAUAGGCGAACUAAAUAAAACAAAUGUUAACAAGGCAAUUCAUGGGAAAGUUUUGAGGCGUUUUGGAAGACAAUAGAGACAAUGCUGCCAGACGAUUCAAGUGAACGAUAAGAAGAACAGGAUUGUGACAAAAUUAAACUUACUUACUCAUAAAACAUAGUUACAUUUACAUGGAGUAAGAUUAUUAAGUCCUCUACUCUGCUAUUGGCAUACCCACCAAGGAAAUGGUAUUUCAUGCCCAGGAAAAACCUGAAAAUGACAAAAUGUUAUUGAGUUUGAAUUUAUGAUUUAU
Mytilus trossulus (common blue mussel) is the source of this 481-nucleotide long non-coding RNA. RefSeq lists it as uncharacterized. The transcript has 3 exons. Lineage: Eukaryota; Metazoa; Mollusca; Bivalvia; Mytilida; Mytilidae. The record is from RefSeq and is a predicted model, not a curated record.